ACGAACGCUGGCGGCUUGCUUAACACAUGCAAGUCGAACGGAAAGGCCCUGCUUGCAGGGUACUCGAGUGGCGAACGGGUGAGUAACACGUGGGUGAUCUGCCCUGCACUUCGGGAUAAGCCUGGGAAACUGGGUCUAAUACCGGAUAGGAGCCAUUUUUAGUGUGAUGGUUGGAAAGUUUUUUCGGUGUAGGAUGAGCUCGCGGCCUAUCAGCUUGUUGGUGGGGUAAUGGCCUACCAAGGCGGCGACGGGUAGCCGGCCUGAGAGGGUGGACGGCCACAUUGGGACUGAGAUACGGCCCAGACUCCUACGGGAGGCAGCAGUGGGGAAUAUUGCACAAUGGGCGCAAGCCUGAUGCAGCGACGCCGCGUGGGGGAUGACGGCCUUCGGGUUGUAAACUCCUUUCGCUAGGGACGAAGCUUUUUGUGACGGUACCUAGAGAAGAAGCACCGGCUAACUACGUG
Molecule: ribosomal RNA, 464 nt
Filed under: uncultured bacterium
Lineage: Bacteria
Description: partial 16S ribosomal RNA
Rfam family: Bacterial small subunit ribosomal RNA
Source: RNAcentral